Long non-coding RNA from Mercenaria mercenaria, 4206 nucleotides. RefSeq lists it as uncharacterized. The record is from RefSeq and is a predicted model, not a curated record. Lineage: Eukaryota; Metazoa; Mollusca; Bivalvia; Venerida; Veneridae. The transcript has 2 exons.
CUCCAUUGGAAUGUUAUCGAAGCCCCACGCUUUAUUAUUUUUUUGCAUUAUUGAUUGCAUUACGUACUUCAAAAAUGAAUAUUUCUUCAUUGAGAACAUCACCAUUUGUAUGGAUGUAGCUCUCAUUAUUAAAAAUGGGUGGUAAACCAUCGACGCAUGUUUACAAUAGCUAUGAGUACACAGUAUUUGUCAUGUGUCAAUCAGAAAAGAUUGUACGUUCUGAGGAAAGUUUUAAGGCUGCCUAUAAUGCUUCUGUCGGACAUGACCAUGACAUUGAUAAAACAAAAAUUACAAAUGUAAAGGCAGGCGUUAACGUUAAUCUUGAUACGAGACAAGAGAGGAGACAUAUCAACGAGGGUUUUGUAAAGAUAUGUCCUGGAGGAGUUGUCCGGUUUGAUGUGGAUACCAAAGGCACACAAUUUGUAUACAUAACUAUUUAUGACGAACACGGCAGUUUGAUUUGUGAAAAUCUGUCUAAAAAGGUAGAUUUUAGCAUUAUCAUAGAUUCUCGAAGCCAAGUUGUCGACACGAAGUACCACGAGUUAUACAAAGCAGCUAUUCCAGCGAUGCAACAAUAUAUUUACCCACCGGAGUUCUUUCAGGGAAAGUAAAAUAGAUGUCUCAAAAUCAUUUCCGAAAAACAGACAACGCUUUUAGAUUCAAGAUUAGUCAACAAUUAUUCUGAAUACUACGAAAGACUACGAAAGACACGUGAUGACAUUUCAGCUUCAUUAUUACAUGCUUUCUGCUUCAUGAUUGCACGAUUUCUACUUCAUGAAUUCACGAAUUCACGAUUUCUCCUUUUUGAUUUCACGAUUUCCACUUCAAUGAAUAAACUUAACGAUUUCAAGAUUUCCGCUUCACGAAUUCACGAUUUUAUUAUUAAACUUCACAAUUUCUUGAUUUCACGAUUUCCACUUCACGAAUUCACGAUUUGACGAAUUCACAAUCUCACCAUUUAACUUCACGAUUUCACAGUUUUUAUCAUUACAUGUAGGCUGAAACGAGUACCCGGGUACCCGAGGGUAGGGUAGAAAAUCGUCAGUAUCCGAGUACAUAUUCAUUACCCGUUACCUGAUGUAUAAAUUUGUUAUUAUGGUAUAUUAAGUCAUUUAACUGGAUAGCAAACAUGAAAAUAUGUUCGUUGCUAUAGCUAAUCAAUUUACAUGGACGAGGUUUACAUCCUGCUGCCUCAUGUACAGAAUAGUUUUGUGACAUCUAAGUUGACAUUUUUAUGGUGUUAAUUCGGAAGAAAUAUCAACUACUCCCAAACAUGGCUAUCUGCUCUAAAUAUCCUCAUAUGAACGAGAAUAACAACCGAUGAUUAUAAGGCACAUAUGCCGUAUUUUCAGUAUUAGCCCGGGGACCGACGGGUACCCAUGAGUAACUGUUCAACGGGUACCCGGGUACAAAAUUUGUUCUUGUUUCGGCCCUAAUUACAUGUAAUUAAUGGAGUUGACCUAGAAAACUUAAACAAUUUAAGGCCUUGUUUGUAGACCUUGAAAGACUUGAUUUUUCAAAAGUGUCGUGUUAAUUUGUGAUAAAAUCAAAGAUCAGAUAUUGGUGAAAAAGUGGGGUUCUUAUUUUGAAAAUGUUGCAGGCUCGGUUUGAUUUAAUCCGUUCAUGAGACUUCUAUACAGUUCGGUAAUAGUUUACAGUUACACCUAAAAUAUUUAAUCAAUGUCAACACAGAGACGGACGUUGAUGAUCAAGUAUAUCGUUGAUAACUGACCACCAUGGAAAGGUUACGAAGAAAAACACGAUUAAAGAUUGUUGGCCACAUUUUCGAAAUAGCAUCUAUUAAAUAAAAAUGAGAAUGGCCAGUUACUGGCUUAUUUAUAUGGUUGUAACAAGAAGCAUAUUGUGUACAGUAAACCCCGGUUAUAACGAACUCAUCGAGACAAGCAAAAUGUGCUCUUUUUAGCCUAAAUUUGUUAUGAAAAUAUAGCAAACAUGUUCGUUAUCUAGGCAAUAUGUGUACAGCCAGCUGAUUUUAUAUAAUUAUUUGAUUCAAUGUGCAUUGUCUUUGAAAUUUUAUAACAAUUUAGGUACAGUUAUGCAAUUUAGUUCAUUAUGCUACUAUUUGAUUGCUUGUUUUGUAAUAAUCCUGCCCAUGUAAAAUAUUACAUUCAUACGUCGUGUAUGCUAAUUGUUUAAAGAGUCAAAUUUCUAUAAUAAAAUUAUGAAACAAUGUCAAAAAUUGAUCAAAUGUUGGUUCCUGUACGAAAAAAAGGACCUGUUUUACAGCUGUAAAACGUCUGUAAAAGAACUGUAUUUUGACAUUACAACUGUAAAAGACCUGUAAGUGGAAAACUGAUCAGAAAUACAGUUAAAAUUUUCAGGUGUAAAAUAUGAAGGUCUCAAUUUACAGCUGUAAAAAAUUUACUGUUGAAAGUUACAGCUGUAAAAUGGUCAUGUCUCAAAAUUACAGCUGUAACAUUUUUGGAGGGAAACAUGAGUAUUGUCAGCCAUCUUUAAUGCAUUUUGGCGGGAUAUAACUGAAAUUCACACAGACAUCAAUUUUGGAAUUUAAAGCGGUAUAGAGUAAGUACAGAUGUUUAAUUAUCUAUUAUAGUUGUAAAAGGACAUGUAUAAGUACAUACAUUAACUAUUUACUCUAUACUGGAAGCCGAUAAGUUUAAAAGAAAUAAUUACAAGAUUGUCAUAUGUUUUCAUGACUGACAAAGAAAGUUUUAUAAACGAGAUCUGCAUAUGUUCUACUUUGUAUCCUACUCUUGAAUUUUGCUGUUGCUAUACUGUAAUCAUACCACAUAUACUUUACGUACUAGAUCAUUUAUUUUGCCAUUUUCAUAGUAAUUGCUACCUUAUCUAGAGAUUGCAAUUCAUCUUAAAACUUUUUGCACCUCUCCUUUCGUCCCUUAAAAUAAUGCCCUCUUUUUCAAUACCUAUAAUAUUUCUACAGCUGUAACUUUUGGGCAUUUUUACAGCUGUAACUUUUUUUUCAUUUUUACAGCUGUAACUUUUUUUACAGGUGUAGCUCAUUUGCAUAUUUCGAAUUGUUUUACAGUCGUUUGACAGCUGUAAAUUGAAAUCUACAGCUGUAAAAUCAAUAUUGUUAUAUAAAAUCUACAGGUGUAAAUUUGGAAUAGGCAUGACUGUUAUUUUGAACAAAAAUACAGGUCUUUUACAGCUGUAAAAUUUCGUACAGGUUGGAAAAUCGGCAAAAAGACAUUUUCAAACCGAUGUAACACAAUGAUAGCUCGCAGGUCAGUUUUCAGUUAAUUAAUCGUUGUGUUUAUUUUAUCUGUUAUUGAUUUUGGUAGAUGAUCCUGAUAAUUCUUACAAAUGAUACGCAUUCUGUUUACAUGCGUAGGUCAUUGUUGGUAUUUACUACUCAAGCAAAUUUCGUAACAUCGGAGUGUUUUAUCCAUUAAGUUUUGGCCUAAAUGACUUUGUUUACUAUUAUUACCGAUCAGAUAUUGCGAAAGUCUCAAAAGAAAUUGAUUUGGACAGCCUUAAUUACUUUAUUUUUGUUUUCGAUGGAAUUUUCAUUAAUUGGCCAGAAAUGUUAAUUUCUUUGUUUACCUGUUCAGUAUAUUGUUGUUGUUUACAAUUUAUACCAAAUGAAUCACCGUUGAAUGUUUUAUCUAUUAGAUUUGAUCCUAAUUAUUUUGUUUGUUUCGGUAACAGUCAUUUAUUUACGAAAAUACACAAUGGUGAUUGAUUCUACAUCUGUUGUUUACUAUUAUAUGAGUACAUAAUGGACGUUUUGAUUGACAUGUUUUUGAAAUUGCUUUGAAUAUUUUGAAAUACUUGUAAACAUGUUAUUGCGUUGUAGUUCGUGAAAAAGGUAUAAAUAUUCAGAAAAUUAAGAGAAGAGAGGAGAAUGGGGAGAGGAGGACCGAGUCAAGAAAAGAGAGGACUGAGUUAAGAAGAGAGAGACAGAAUCAGGAAGUUAGAAAUGUUUUACAAAAAUGGGAUCGUAUAAUAGCAGUUCGGAUCGGUUCAGAUCAGCUCGGUUAAGUUCAGUUUUGGGCUCGGGUUUAAGAGCGGGUUAAAAAUAAGUGUGGAAGAUUUAGAACUGAUUAUUAUGUUAUAGAACUUUUUGACUUAAGAAUACAAAUUAAUUAAAAGUUUGACGCGGGAAAAUACUAUUUAAAAAGCUGAUGUAUUUAUACCUGAAUUGACUAUUAGUAUAGUUGUUUGUUCUGUAUAACCUUGUAAAUAAAACCGAGUGUGAAAAAC